This is a long non-coding RNA of Lycium barbarum (goji berry), 753 nucleotides long. RefSeq lists it as uncharacterized. NCBI's taxonomy places the organism in Eukaryota, Viridiplantae, Streptophyta, Magnoliopsida, Solanales, Solanaceae. The record is from RefSeq and is a predicted model, not a curated record. The transcript has 3 exons.
UCGUCCUAAAGUAGUCCCUUCGAAACUUUCGAGCCAAAUCUCAAAUCAUGAAAAAUCUUGUGGUUUUCUUAUGAAAAUAUUAGUAACAUUUAGUAUAAAUGGUAUCUCUUUAUUCUUUCUGACACAAUAAAGCAAAUCAAUAGAGUGAAAGUAGGUUUGAUAAUUCCCGUUUUACAAAGUUAAACUAUCCCUUGUAUUGCAUAAGGUUUGCAGGGAAAAAGGGUACAUUCAAUCACAUGCAACCUCAUGAGAGCUAGGAAGAAGAGAAAAGAGUACAAAUAUUCAGAGCUAAUCACUAUCGAUGUGGUACCUGCAUUGGUUUAUUUCAAGGUUGAAUGGCUCUUCCGUUACAGCAGGUGGCUUUACUCCUAGAAAUAGCAAUGUGCUCAUAGUAUCCACAUCUUCGAACCAGGUAUAUGCCUUUGAUGUUGAAGCUAAACAACUAGGAGAAUGGUCCAACCGGAAUACAUUCUCCCUGCCGAGAAGAUUUCAAGAAUUUCCUGGAGAAGUGAUUGGGCUUUCUUUUGCUCCUUCUACUAAUUCAUCAUCCGUCAUAGUCUACAGUUCAAGGAGUUCUAUGGAAAUGCGUGGACCUGUAAAUAUAGCUAGUGAGCUUUACGAAGUGUCCGUUAGCCUCUUCAGAUAUUGACUAAUGUUUUCAUGUAUCAAUUAGUAUUUUUUUAAAAUUUCUGUAUCAAUCAGUUUUGCCCCUUGAAACAAACAAUUUGAUCCAUAAUGUUAAAGUUAUUUUCU